Molecule: non-coding RNA, 74 nt
Organism: Caloramator quimbayensis
Lineage: Bacteria; Bacillati; Bacillota; Clostridia; Eubacteriales; Clostridiaceae
Source: Rfam
GGGCCUUUAGCUCAGUUGGCUAGAGCAACCGGCUCAUAACCGGUCGGUCCGGGGUUCGAAUCCCUGAAGGCCCA